CGACACAGGUGGUCGGGUAGAGAAUACCAAGGCGCUUGAGAGAACUCGGGUGAAGGAACUAGGCAAAAUGGUACCGUAACUUCGGGAGAAGGUACGCUCUCGACGGUGAAGUCCCUCGCGGAUGGAGCUAUUGAGAGUCGCAGAUACCAGGUGGCUGCAACUGUUUAUUAAAAACACAGCACUGUGCAAAAUCGUAAGAUGACGUAUACGGUGUGACGCCUGCCCGGUGCCGGAAGGUUAAUUGAUGGGGUUAGACUUC
This 259-nucleotide ribosomal RNA is filed under the name Vibrio parahaemolyticus. RNAcentral's name for it is "partial 23S ribosomal RNA". It matches the Rfam family "Bacterial large subunit ribosomal RNA", at positions 1655 to 1898 of the family's 2925-position model. Lineage: Bacteria; Pseudomonadati; Pseudomonadota; Gammaproteobacteria; Vibrionales; Vibrionaceae. The record is from RNAcentral.